Molecule: small nucleolar RNA, 123 nt
Filed under: Meriones unguiculatus (Mongolian gerbil)
Lineage: Eukaryota; Metazoa; Chordata; Mammalia; Rodentia; Muridae
Description: Small nucleolar RNA SNORA17 (ENSMUGG00000008180.1)
Rfam family: Small nucleolar RNA SNORA17
About the family: snoRNA ACA 17 belongs to the H/ACA family of snoRNAs and is predicted to guide pseudouridylation of the 28S rRNA at positions U4659 and U4598.
Source: RNAcentral
ACUGCCCCUCAUGGUGUUGCAGGUGUGUCUGCUGUGUCACAUGUGUGUCAGUGGGUGGCAGAGAGGUGAGAGGCCAUGUCCACCCUGACCUGGGAACAUCUGAAUGUUUAGUGACCUAACACU